GUGAAAUCUAGUCCUAUAAACAAGAAAGUUCCAUGACUACUCAUUUGUACUCUUGUUUUAAAAAGAAGUCCUUGGUGAAUAAGGCAAAGCCUACUGCCAAUGCUCUGAGGCAAGCCGUAAUCAAUUAAAGACUCACUUGUGAAGGAGCCAUUGUUUGCAGUUCCAUUCAGACAUUGCUGACUUGUCUUUUAGACUGCUUGUGCGGAAGCCCUGACAUGAGGAAUAAAAGUUAUUCAGUAAUGAAAGUAAACCCACAGAGACACUUCUAGGCAGAAAUGGGCC
This is a long non-coding RNA of Carlito syrichta (Philippine tarsier), 282 nucleotides long. RefSeq lists it as uncharacterized. Lineage: Eukaryota; Metazoa; Chordata; Mammalia; Primates; Tarsiidae. The transcript is spliced from 3 exons. The record is from RefSeq and is a predicted model, not a curated record.